This 433-nucleotide ribosomal RNA is filed under the name uncultured bacterium. RNAcentral's name for it is "partial 16S ribosomal RNA". It matches the Rfam family "Bacterial small subunit ribosomal RNA", at positions 29 to 507 of the family's 1533-position model. The record is from RNAcentral.
AACGAACGCUGGCGGCAUGCCUAACACAUGCAAGUCGAACGAGACCUUCGGGUCUAGUGGCCCACGGGUGCGUACCGCGUGGUAACCUUCCCUUAGGUUCCUAAUAACUCCCCGAAAAGGGUUCUAAUACCGGAUAAUGUCCUCGGACCCAAGAUUUAUCGCCUUUGGAUGGGCCCGCGUUGGAUUAGCUAGCUGGUAGGGUAAAAGCCUACCAAGGCGACGAGCCAUAGCUGGUCUGAGAGGAUGAUCAGCCACACUGGGACUGAGACACGGCCCAGACCCGUACGGGAGGCAGCAGUGGGGAAUAUUGGACGAUGGGCGAAAGCCUGAUCCAGCAAUGCCGCGUGAGUGAUGAAGGCCUUAGGGUUGUAAAGCUCUUUUGCCCGGGAUGAUAAUGACAGUACCGGGAGAAUAAGCUCCGGCUAACUACGUG